This 27-nucleotide small RNA is filed under the name Bombyx mori (domestic silkworm). RNAcentral's name for it is "ovarian small RNA-12831". The record is from RNAcentral. Lineage: Eukaryota; Metazoa; Arthropoda; Insecta; Lepidoptera; Bombycidae.
CAAGAUAGAAUACGUCAGCGUACUGCG